UGAUUCUGUGCAGUUGAGUUCCCUUCAGGAUUUGAAGGUUGCUCUGAACUCUGUUAGCUUUUCUCUCACUAUCUUUUUCCUCCAGCCAGGGUAAUAGGAAUAGAAUGAAAUUUUCUUUCACUGAAACUCUGAAUUUAUAACCCGAUUUUUGUGGACCUGUGGGCUAAAAUGAGAGAGGUCCAAGUCCAAGAUUUUUUCUUUUAUUUAUUUAUUUAUUUAUUUUCAUUUUUCGUUUUUUG
RNAcentral lists this long non-coding RNA (239 nucleotides) under Lathyrus oleraceus (garden pea). RNAcentral's name for it is "Pisum sativum (pea) long non-coding RNA (PSAT_LNC040122)". Lineage: Eukaryota; Viridiplantae; Streptophyta; Magnoliopsida; Fabales; Fabaceae. The record is from RNAcentral.